CAGUGAUUCCCUUAGUAACGGCGAGCGAACAGGGAAGAGCCCAGCGCCGAACCGCCGAUCGUACAGGUCGCGCGGAAUGUGGCGUUACGGAGCGAGCCUUCCCCCGUGGACGGCGGCGACAAGUCUCCCUGACAGGAGCUCCUGCCCAGAGCGGGUGCGAGGCCCAUAGUCGCCGUGCGUCACUCGGGUGGCGAACUCCGAAGAGUCGGGCUGCUUGAGAGUGCAGUCCUAAGCGGGAGGUAAACUCCUCCUAAGGCUAAAUACGGCCGCGAGACCGAUAGCGAACAAGUACCGUGAGGGAAAGUUGCAAAGAACUUUGAAGAGAGAGUUCAAGAGUACGUGAAACUGCUCGGAAGGAAACGGGUGGAUCUUCGAAGUCCGAGCGGAGCGGGAUUCAGUGGCGGGCGGCGAGGGGUGUUUGAACCUCGUACUCCCUCGCGGAGACGAGGGGCGGGCACCGUUCUCCCGUCAGCCGCGCACUUCUCGCUCCCGGUGGACGCCGCAGCCGGUCUGGCGUCGGCAGUGAGGACUGGCCGGGCGAUGGCGUGGGCGUCGAUCUCGCAUCGGCGUCCCGAUUCUGUACCGGUCGUGUUCCCGGUGCGACGCCGGUCCGAGGGAAAGAGUCCGGACUAGUUCCGGACGUGCCGCGGUCUCGCCAUGAGAAUGGCAGAGCGGGAGAGUGGUCCGGUCCUACCGGCCGUGUCGCCCACCACGAGCGUGAGCGACCGGAAAAAGGUGAGCCGUAAGAUCGCGACCUAGCCCGCUAAGGCGAACCGAGGGCUUGCGGCGAGUAGGUCGGUAUUCCACCCGACCCGUCUUGAAACACGGACCAAGGAGUCUAACUUGUGCGCGAGUCAGUGGGACUCGAUUAAGCCCACGGGCGCAAUGAGAGUGAGUUUUUGAGUCGUGAUCCCGCGCUUCGGCGUGGGCGCAGCGACGGCCCGACUAAAAAGUUGUCCAGCGAUGCUGGCGCCGGUCGGAGCCCGAGCGUACAGGUUGGUACCCGAAAGAUGGUGAACUAUGCCCGGGCAGGUUGAAGCUAGAGGAAACUCUGGUGGAGGACCGCAGCGGUCUGACGUGCAAAUCGAU
Molecule: ribosomal RNA, 1089 nt
Filed under: Uthina sarikaensis
Lineage: Eukaryota; Metazoa; Arthropoda; Arachnida; Araneae; Pholcidae
Description: eukaryotic LSU rRNA
Rfam family: Eukaryotic large subunit ribosomal RNA
Source: RNAcentral